RNAcentral lists this ribosomal RNA (562 nucleotides) under uncultured bacterium. RNAcentral describes it as "partial 16S ribosomal RNA". It matches the Rfam family "Bacterial small subunit ribosomal RNA", at positions 355 to 1376 of the family's 1533-position model. The record is from RNAcentral.
UGGGGAAUCUUGCACAAUGGGGGAAACCCUGAUGCAGCGACGCCGCGUGAGUGAUGAAGCCCUUCGGGGUGUAAAAGCUCUUUCGGCAGGGACGAUAAUGACGGUACCUGCAGAAGAAGCUGCGGCUAACUACGUGCCAGCAGCCGCGGUAAUACGUAGGCAGCAAGCGUUGUUCGGAAUUACUGGGCGUAAAGAGUGCGUAGGCGGUUUGGCAAGUUUGGUGUGAAAUCUCCUGGCUUAACUGGGAGGGUGCGCCGAAAACUGUCAGGCUAGAGUGUGGGAGAGGAAAGCGGAAUUCCUGGUGUAGCGGUGAAAUGCGUAGAUAUCAGGAGGAACACCUGCGGUGUAGACGGCUUUCUGGACCACUACUGACGCUGAGGCACGAAAGCGUGGGGAGCAAACAGGAUUAGAUACCCUGGUAGUCCACGCCCUAAACGAUGCGGACUUGGUGUUGGCCCUUCAUUGGGUCAGUGCCGCAGUUAACGCGGUAAGUCCGCCGCCUGGGGAGUACGGUCGCAAGGCUGAAACUUAAAUGAAUUGACGGGGUCAUAGCUGUUUCCUG